Molecule: long non-coding RNA, 1881 nt
Organism: Aethalodelphis obliquidens (Pacific white-sided dolphin)
Lineage: Eukaryota; Metazoa; Chordata; Mammalia; Artiodactyla; Delphinidae
Exons: 3
Source: RefSeq, a predicted model, not a curated record
GGAUCUUAGUUCCCCGGCCAGGGAUCGAACCUGCGUCCCCUGCAUCGGAAGGCGGAUUCUUAACCACUGGACCACCAGGGAAGACUCCUUUCCAUUCUUUCUUGGACCCACUCCAAAACCUGCCUUGCUGCAAGAUGACCUCCACAUUGCUAAAUCCAGUCGUCAGUUCUGUUUUCUUCCUUGACGUUAUCAGCAGCAUCUUAGAUUCUUAGAUAAUAGAUCAUUUCCUCCUUGAAACAUGUUCACCUGGCCUUUGGGACUUGCCUCCCACCUCUCUCAUUUCAGGCCCCAUUUGCUGUUCCUUCUCCACCUCCUUUACCUCUUACUGUCAGACUGCCCACUUCCCAUCUGCUCACAGUGCCUUGAUCUCAUCCAGUCUGGAAGCCCUGUAAACACAACUGGUAUGCUGAUGACUCUCCCUUUAAGGCCACAGUUUGAUGAGUUUUGAAAAAUGUCAACACCCUUGCAACCACCACUACAACAAAAAUAGAGAAUAUUUGCCCUUCUCCAAAAAGUUCCCUCAUGUCUUUUCAUAGUUAAUCUCCACCCUACCCCAAGACCUGGGCAACCACAUGUCUGCUUUGUCAGUACAUAUUAGAAUUGUCUUUUAGGGUUUUAUAAAGAUAGAAUCAUACAGUAUGCAUAUGCUACGUUUGUAUGCAGAUUCUUUUGCUCAGCAUGUUUUGGAGGCUCAUCCACGUUGUAGCAUUUAUCAGUAGUCUACUUUCUUUGUUGAGUAGCUUUCCAUUAUGCGGAUGUGCCACAGGUAGUAGUCAUCCUGUUCACCUAGAUGGACAUUGACUUGUUUCCAGUUCUGGGCUAGUGUAAAUACAGCCGCUAUGGGCAUUCUUCUUCAGGGCUUUUUUGUGUAUGCAGGUUUUCAUUUACCUUGGGUAAAGACCUAGGAGUGGAACAGCUGAGUUGUAUGAAGUUGGCUCCAAGCCCUGCUUCUGGGUCUGGUCAGAACCCACAGCAGGAAGGAUGACCUCCCACAAGGCCUUGGUGAGCUGCCCAGACACGCACGAAGGCUGGGUUUCUGUAUGGGAACCACUGAGCAACUUUAACCAGGAAGGACAGAAAAUGCUUUUGUUUUUAAAGAGGUCCUAGUGGCUGCUGUGUGGAUAAUGACCUGAUGGAGGCAACCGUUACCAAGGAAGGCAAGCGCGGAGGCUACUGUGUUCGUUCCGGCGAGAGAUGGAAACUUGGACCAACGUGGUGCUGCAGUGCGCAGAGAAGUGAUGAAACGCUUCACCGUACAGAUUCAAACCGCUCAGUGAACUUCAGAGCAAGAUAAACACAAAGAAACCACAUUAUUAAAAAGUACUGAAGCCCAAGAGAAAAGGUCAUGGUCAUGGUGGAGAAGCUUGGAUCGGAUUUACCUUCUUUCCGGUGAUGGUCAGUCAGGUGCAGCCAUAAGAGGAGACACAGGAGAGUAGCAGGAAGAAACAAAGUUUAUUAUACUCACAGGUCCAAGAAAGACGGAGUUACGGCAUGCCAUGAAGGUCCACACAUGCUGUAAGCCAGGGAGCGGGCUCAACCAAGCAGGUGGGGAGCAGAGAGUGAAGACUAGCCCACAGGCAAGUGCUUUUAUUAAGGGUGUGGGUAGAAUACACAAGGAUAGGCAUGAGGUAUGUCAUUGGUGCUUUUGAAUGUUACUAGGUCAUGUUCAGGGGAGAGCAAAGAGGAAGCCCCUUGUAGCAGGGGCCAGCCUUAUCACUUGAUAAGCCUGGUCAUCUGGGAGGGGUGCUCACAGCCUGUUUGCGGGUAUGUUGAGGCAGCAGGAAAAUACAAAAUUUAAAAUUUUACAAUACGAUGAAAUAGGUGAAAGGGGUAAAAAGGUACAAAGAUCCAUUUAUAAAAUAAGUCAUGGGGAUGUAAUGU